AACCCUUAUUUUUUGUUGCCAGCACAUUAUGGUGGGAACUCAAAGGAGACUGCCGGUGAUAAACCGGAGGAAGGUGGGGAUGACGUCAAGUCAUCAUGGCCCUUACGAGUAGGGCUACACACGUGCUACAAUGGCGUAUACAAAGAGAAGCGACCUUGCGAGAGCAAGCGGAACUCAUAAAGUACGUCGUAGUCCGGAUUGGAGUCUGCAACUCGACUCCAUGAAGUCGGAAUCGCUAGUAAUCGUAGAUCAGAAUGCUACGGUGAAUACGUUCCCGGGCCUUGUACACACCGCCCGUCACACCAUGGGAGUGGGUUGCAAAAGAAGUAGGUAGCUUAACCUUGAGGAGGGCGUUUACCACUUUGUGAUUCAUGACUGGGGCGAAGUGUAACAAGGUAACCA
Molecule: ribosomal RNA, 402 nt
Filed under: uncultured Providencia sp.
Lineage: Bacteria; Pseudomonadati; Pseudomonadota; Gammaproteobacteria; Enterobacterales; Morganellaceae
Description: bacterial SSU rRNA
Rfam family: Bacterial small subunit ribosomal RNA
Source: RNAcentral